AAGACCUUUGUGGCGNCGUGCUUAACACAUGCAAGUCGAACGUGAAACCCGGUAUUCGUAUUGGGAAGUAAAGUGGCGAACGGGUGAGUAACACGUAGGUGACCUGCCCCGAGGAGGGGGAUAACCGUGGGAAACCACGGCUAAUACCCCAGAUGUCUAAGGGUUUAGAAAACUUAGACUAAAGCUCCGGCGCCUCGGGAGGGACCUGCGGGCUAUCAGCUUGUUGGUGGGGUAAUGGCCUACCAAGGCUAAGACGGCUAGGGGGCAUGAGAGCGCGACCCCCCACAAUGGAACUGAGACACGGUCCAUACUCCUACGGGAGGCAGCAGUGAGGAAUAUUGCACAAUGGGGGCAACCCUGAUGCAGCAACGCCGCGUGAACGAUGAAGGCUUUCGGGUUGUAAAGUUCUUUUCUGAAGGAAGAUAGUGACGGUACUUCAGGAAUAAGUCCCGGCUAACUACGUGCCAGCAGCCCGGGUAAAACGUAAGGGGCUAACGGUAUUCCGAAUUAUUUGGCNUUAAGGCNCNCNUAGCCGGC
RNAcentral lists this ribosomal RNA (537 nucleotides) under uncultured bacterium. RNAcentral's name for it is "bacterial SSU rRNA". It matches the Rfam family "Bacterial small subunit ribosomal RNA", at positions 29 to 579 of the family's 1533-position model. The record is from RNAcentral.